CACUGAGCCCCAUUCUGACUGUCUCUG
This 27-nucleotide unclassified non-coding RNA is filed under the name Mus musculus (house mouse). RNAcentral describes it as "oocyte_clustered_small_RNA9982". The record is from RNAcentral. Lineage: Eukaryota; Metazoa; Chordata; Mammalia; Rodentia; Muridae.